AAGAGGACAAAGCAGACGAAUUUGAAUCCAAAAUGGUGAUUCCCAAUCCUCUAAUCUCUUUUCACUCAGCUUGAUUUCUGCUCUUAAUUAUGCUUUUUGUUUAUAUCGGAAAGCCGAUUUACUGAUAUUAUUUGUUCCAUAUACCCGAUCUCUCUCUAUAGGUCUGCUUGGCGUGUCUGUUGCCUCUUUUCCUGGUUCCAAUCGUCAACAUAUUACCACUUCUAUUUGAUUUCAUCUUGGUAACAUUCAAUUCUUAUUCUCUUCUCUGUGUUUGCCCGUUGAAUUCUUUCUUAUUUAGUUAUUUUAAUUCGGAUGUUAGUAUUUUAAUGAUCUGUAGGGAAAAGUAUAUAAGCUGUUAGGAUGGGAUUAUCGGAAGCCGGAAAGGUCACCACCGGCGUGUCCCUACAAGCUUGCCGCCAACAAGAUCAAUGAUACAGUAUGUGCAUAAUGGUGUAGAUAUAUUACAGACAGUUAUGUUAAUUGCAUAUUUGGGUUUUGCUUUACUGUUUAUUUAUAUUUUGCUUUUUUGUUAAAGUUGGUAUUCUUGGUAUUUUUUUAAUUAUUUAAAAAUAAGGAAAAGCUAGGGAAAUACACUGAGAAAUAUCUUUGGCUAAUUGUUAACUAGCAGUGUUGCUUAAAUACAUUUAUCAGAUUCAUCUAAAAAGAAUCUUGUGUUAAAAUUAAAUGCUACUCGAUAAGGAACAAGUUAAAUGUUCCUAUGGUAGUGAAGGAGUUUUUAGUUUGUAAAUUGGAAACAUUAGUUUGUUAUUACCAGAAGACUAGCAAGGGAGCCGCUGACAGUGCUCUUUGAAGGGGAUUCUAUGCAAUCACGUAAAAUUUCUAAUCGAAUUCUGAAUUUAAGUUUCCAGUAUGAUUGUUCUAGAGGAUCGAUAUUUUUAGUGCUGUGCUAGCUAUGUGAAAACGGCCUUAUGUAUACUGAAACAAGAAUUGUGAUAUAAAGUCUCAUAUCCUAAAGUUUAGUUUUGAGUCGUGAGUUCUUUUUUCUCUUCAAAUGUUUGCUGAAGAUUAACAGUUGUGGCGUCGGAAGCAGUAUAACAGAAAAAUUGGUUUAUGUUUUUAUCUGGUUAGGUGCCAAAAAACACAGUUACUACUAACUUUAGUCUUCACAUACCCCUCCUCUUAGGCUGGAGAGACGCAAUGCUAAUGAGAAGUUUAUUCCACCACCUUUCGGAACCAAGAUUGUUACUGAAUACCGAAGUGUUUUUUUUUUAAAAAAUAUCUGGAGGAAGAAUCAUGUGAAGGUGAGGGAAAUUUAUUUGGAGAUGGUUCUGCAUGUGCAAGAAAUCAGUGUUCACUAUAGGACAAGAAUAGUGAUUGAAAUAUCAAGAGAUUGCGAGAACAAUUUACCCGGACUGAAUGAGUUCAUAUGGUCGAUCCCAAAUUAAUUUUGCCAUGUUGUUUUUUGGGCAACUGAUUGUACGGAAAUAUGCGAGCAUAUAAAGGUUACCUAAGUUUCAUCUUUCUGAAUUUAUAUUACCAAAAAUUUGACUGGAGUUUGAGAAGAUAUGUCCCAUGCCACCAAAAAUACUACCUUUGGUUUUGUUUCUCUAACAACUCUCUCCUGUUUGUCUUGUCUACUUUAGUAUCAUGUUUUGUUCUUAUCUUCUCUAUUCUCUCCUCUUAUUUCCAUCUUGGCAUUCUUUAAUCUCUUCUGUCUUCUUUUUCUUUUUAGCUCCCUUAUUUCUCUUUUCUCCUAUAAUUCUAUUGAUCUCCCUAGUUUUUCCACCAUCUCCUUUUUGUGUAUUCUUUUCGUCAUGUCCUUAUCCUGCUUGAUUCUCUUUGUUUUUAUGUUUAACAAACCCAAAGGGAGUUUAGAUUAGCUUGGUCUUGACUAAUGCAUUCUUCUUGAGGAUCUAUAUUAGAACCAAUCCCUUGAUUAAACUACUCUUAUAAUCUGAACGUUGUUUUACUUAUUUCUUUAUUUUUUUUCAGCAGGUAACUUUGUUAUACUUAAUUUAUUUAUGUAAUUGCACUUUAGAGGAUACCCUGAGCCUUUACCAAGGAGAAGGGAUUGUGUAUACCACAUUUAGUCAUAUUGAGAACCAUGAAGCUUACCAACAUCUGUUGGGCCGAGUGGAAGGAGCUCGGUGCCCUUAAGCAAGGUCUCAAGUUUGAGUUUGUGAAUGGAGGAAUCAGUGUUAGGGAGAGCUCCAGAAAUCAGUUUCCCUGCCAUCUUAGUGGGACUAGUCUAAUAAACUUUCACUUGAACUACCAAGGCUCGGUUUUUGUGGUAAUGCCCUUCUAUCCUUGUGGGUCCGACCAUAGCUCGAUUCCGAAUUAGUCGGGUCUAAUGGUUGUCGGAUACCAAGAGGUGAACCAAGAAAUAAAAGAAGAGAACCAUGAAGCUUCAGGUUGAGCAUUUGCCAAGAAGAGGGGAUUGCUUACACCAUAUCACCAUAUCUGAUGCAUUGAUGAAAAGACAAUUUACCAAGUCUAAGUUGUUGCUUGACUUAUUAAUCAGAACGUCCAAAGAUUAUUUUAAUCUUUCAUUAGUAAUAGUAACUCUUGUCCAAUGUUCUAACAGGCGCCUAGGAGGCGGGCGGCCUAGAGCCUAGGGAGCCUAGGCGGGAUUUUUUAUUUUAAGCCAAUUUUAAUAUUUUAUCUUACAUUUAUCCAAACAAAAUAAUAAUAUAAAUCAAAACAAUCUAUAAUAAAGAUAAUAAAUGCCUUUGCUUAAAGUUCAAACACAUAUCCAUAUUACUAAUGUCAAAAUUCAAACACAAAAAUGCAAUUGUUGAAAGUUCAAACAUAUUUUUAACGUAUUAGUUUAAUUCAUAAACAAGAUUGCUAUUAAAUAAUAAAUUUAAAAUUUCAACAAUUUAAUUCAAUAUUAAAACUUAAGAAACUAAACAUAAAUUUAGAAUUAUAUUAAAUUAAACUAAAUAUUACAAAUGUAUCAUCAUUUAUAUAAUUUGAAGUUGGUACAAAUUCAAAAAUUACAACUAUAAUAAAAUUAUCCAUUUUGACUUGAUAUUGUUCACUUCUUGUUGUGAUUUGAUAUGUUACAACCUAUAUUAUGAAUAUGGUAAAUCAUUAGAAAAAUAAAUAUAUCAAGAUCUGGUUUGGGUAGUUAUUAAAAUAAAAAAAAACAUAGGCGACUCCGCCUAAUUUUCUGGGAGGAAUUUUUUUUAGCCUUGGGCCUAGGUGAGGCGCCAGGGGGGCCUAGCGCCUAGGCGAUGCGCCAAGGGGGGCCUAGGCGGACCUAGGCGGGGAUUUUUAGAACAGUGCUCUUGACCAGUUUCAAGUUUGAGCUUUACUAAAUCUAUGAUAACGGAUAUGAUUUUUGCCCUUACUGCAUAUGUUUAACUUAUGGAAAUUGGUUGUUAUAGGGAACUGAAAUGUUAGCAGCAUCUGAUUUCUAGCGUGGUUUUGGUUGUCUUCACUUGACUGAAGUUGUUACUGUUUCUAUUGACAAGGAAUCUGAUAUUGUAUAUAUGUUGGGUUUAAUUCUAGGUGUUUCAUUGGUUUUUUGUGUUCUAUAGUAAGCUCCUUAUUUGGUUUAAAAAUUGGGAUGUUUUUUUUAAAAAAACUUUUUUAUUACCUAUUAUUAAGUUUGCUUGGUGCCCUUCUCUAUUUGGUGUCUUCUUUAUCUCUGUUGGUUCAUUUUUGCCUCUGUUUUGGUAAAGUAUCUAGCAACUAGUAACAACUGCCAUUUAUAGUCGGCAUAUCCAGAUAGACAAAUCAUGGCCCAUACUAGUAUCCCAGGAUUUGCCAAUUUGAUAGUCCAUUACCUUAAAGUUGUUCUUUUGAUUCAUUGUCUUUAUGGACAUAAAAAUGAGUUUACAUCAUGUUUUACAGGCUGCUGGAGAACCCAAUCCUGUUGCCCUGGAUCCUGUCCAAAAGCUAACGAGGGUGGAUGACUGCAAGCUCGAGUGAAGUUUGCUUUUAUCUGUCCAUAAGAUAUCAAGGGUUUAAUCAUUCUCUUACUUCUUGCUGGGAUAAAGCCAGUGGUUCUUUUUAUUUGUUUGUUUGGUAAAAACUUUAACUGAUACUAUCAGACUAGUGCAAUCAAGAGAAUUGUUUUGGGACUAUUUCUUACUGGUGUUUGGCUGUUUGCCAUGCCUUUCACAUUGUGAAGUAGAGGGUUAAGGUUUUCCUGUUGAUUUGGGAGAAAUAGUGGCCUACUUUCUUACUUUUUUCCACCCUUACCCCUAAUAGAGAAACAAAAAUAUAUAUAAUCCUUGUAUUUGAAAUGAUAUCACAACUAGUAAUGAAGAUCAAUGUUAGGAGCUAUGAUUAAUAUGCCAGGAAAAACAUUUGAUUAACAUUCUUAAACUGGAGUUCCAUACUUUUAAGUGAGAUAUAUCCUUCCCACUUAUCAAGUUAGCCAGUUAAGGUCUUCUUUUAUAGAAGUGGGAUUAACAACUUUUACUUAUCACUCGUGUUUUUUCUUUCCUGAUCCCUCUUAAUGAACCGCUGCUAACUAUUAAAUAUAUGAAGGCAGGCUUUGUGGAGCUACUAGAAUCAGUCUAGCAAAAAUAUUUGGACCGGAAAAAGAGGGUUCCAGUGUCCAACACAAUAAUAUCCUAUCAACUGGACAAGCCCACGACUGCUUUGUUGGAAAAUUCCCUCAAGAGUCCAUCUUUGCAUAGCAUAGUAUAUAUUUUUCAAAGUAGAACAGGUCCC
This 4647-nucleotide long non-coding RNA is filed under the name Panax ginseng (ginseng). RNAcentral's name for it is "long non-coding RNA (PGIN_LNC009901)". Lineage: Eukaryota; Viridiplantae; Streptophyta; Magnoliopsida; Apiales; Araliaceae. The record is from RNAcentral.